Molecule: ribosomal RNA, 1091 nt
Filed under: Salmonella enterica
Lineage: Bacteria; Pseudomonadati; Pseudomonadota; Gammaproteobacteria; Enterobacterales; Enterobacteriaceae
Description: partial 23S ribosomal RNA
Rfam family: Bacterial large subunit ribosomal RNA
Source: RNAcentral
UCACUGGUCGAGUCGGCCUGCGCGGAAGAUGUAACGGGGCUAAACCAUGCACCGAAGCUGCGGCAGCGACACUCAGGUGUUGUUGGGUAGGGGAGCGUUCUGUAAGCCUGCGAAGGUGGCCUGUGAGGGUUGCUGGAGGUAUCAGAAGUGCGAAUGCUGACAUAAGUAACGAUAAAGCGGGUGAAAAGCCCGCUCGCCGGAAGACCAAGGGUUCCUGUCCAACGUUAAUCGGGGCAGGGUGAGUCGACCCCUAAGGCGAGGCCGAAAGGCGUAGUCGAUGGGAAACGGGUUAAUAUUCCCGUACUUGGUGUUACUGCGAAGGGGGGACGGAGAAGGCUAUGUUGGCCGGGCGACGGUUGUCCCGGUUUAAGCGUGUAGGUGUGUGUUCCAGGUAAAUCCGGUUCACUUUAACACUGAGGCGUGACGACGAGGCACUACGGUGCUGAAGCAACAAAUGCCCUGCUUCCAGGAAAAGCCUCUAAGCAUCAGGUAACAUCAAAUCGUACCCCAAACCGACACAGGUGGUCAGGUAGAGAAUACCAAGGCGCUUGAGAGAACUCGGGUGAAGGAACUAGGCAAAAUGGUGCCGUAACUUCGGGAGAAGGCACGCUGACACGUAGGUGAAGUGAUUUACUCAUGGAGCUGAAGUCAGUCGAAGAUACCAGCUGGCUGCAACUGUUUAUUAAAAACACAGCACUGUGCAAACACGAAAGUGGACGUAUACGGUGUGACGCCUGCCCGGUGCCGGAAGGUUAAUUGAUGGGGUCAGCGCAAGCGAAGCUCCUGAUCGAAGCCCCGGUAAACGGCGGCCGUAACUAUAACGGUCCUAAGGUAGCGAAAUUCCUUGUCGGGUAAGUUCCGACCUGCACGAAUGGCGUAAUGAUGGCCAGGCUGUCUCCACCCGAGACUCAGUGAAAUUGAACUCGCUGUGAAGAUGCAGUGUACCCGCGGCAAGACGGAAAGACCCCGUGAACCUUUACUAUAGCUUGACACUGAACAUUGAGCCUUGAUGUGUAGGAUAGGUGGGAGGCUUUGAAGUGUGGACGCCAGUCUGCAUGGAGCCGACCUUGAAAUACCACCCUUUAAUGUUU